UACGGAGGAUGCAAGCGUUAUCCGGAAUGAUUGGGCGUAAAGCGUCCGUAGGUGGCUAUUCAAGUCUGCUGUUAAAGCGCAGGGCUUAACCCUGUAAAGGCGGUGGAAACUGGAGAGCUAGAGUGUGGUAGGGGUAGAGGGAAUUCCCGGUGUAGCGGUGAAAUGCGUAGAGAUCGGGAAGAACACCAGUGGCGAAGGCGGCCAUCUGGAUCAACACUGACGCUGAGACACGAAAGCGUGGGGAGCAAACAGG
Molecule: ribosomal RNA, 253 nt
Filed under: uncultured bacterium
Lineage: Bacteria
Description: partial 16S ribosomal RNA
Rfam family: Bacterial small subunit ribosomal RNA
Source: RNAcentral